AAGCAACAAAGGCAAUACUCGCAGAACUAAUUUUACAUUCAGUGAGAACAUAUCUCUAAGUUUCACUUUCCUUUACAUGGAAAUCCACUUAGUGUGCACCCGCCCUGGACACUGUCUCAAUCUUCUGGUGAAACACGAGACUUGGUGUAAAUAAGCAGAUCUUCAUGACGUUAUGUUUUUCAUUUCCUGAAAGCAACCUCUAUUUUACAGUACAAGCUAUUCUUUUAACACAUUUUAGCCAUAUUACUCAAUGCGAACACAAUCAGACUAAGAUUAGACCAUUAUUUUAAAGCUAUAUUCUUAGACAAAUGACUAAAAAGGCAUUUUAGUUUAAAGCAAGAAAUAGAAGUUAAAACUAGAGAAAUGUAAUAUGACACUCAUGCUCUGGGACUGUUCGAACCACUUCCUGAUCACUGUUUACAUUUGUUUGCAACGUCUCACUGUCCUUGACCUACGGAUUAUGCAAUAAAUGUAAAUAUAAAAAGAAACCUAUCUUUGACUUUACUUGGAAAUGGAAAUCCAUUUCUUUACACCGUCUAGAACCGGAUUAGCUGCUUUCCUAUCUAUAUCCUUGUUUUAUUUUUAGAACAAAUGUAGGUGGUUUCUAGUGGUGAAGAAUAAAAGGAAGCCACUGUGUAUCUCUUCAUUUCGAAGAACUUGCUCCGGGUAUAAGUUGCAAUCUUCUUGUGCAACACAACACUUUUUUGGAAACAGGGUCUAAAUGAGAAUUGCAGAGUGAUAAUGACCAGUGAGGAGGGUGAAGAAGAAGAAGAUGAUGAUGCGGAUGAAGAUAUGUACUGAAGGUUUGCUGCCAAGGGCAAACCCAGAAGAAGAACCAAUAGAUUAGUUGCACCCGCGUCAUGGUUGAGCUGUGCAUCUUCAUGAAAAAAAGAACCACGGCAACAUUUUGCCAUUCUGUCCUUGCAGAUGAUUUUGGUUCUUUUCCAGGAUGAAAACACAGCCACUAUGAAUUUUAGAGGGGAUGUUACACGGUGUUAUGUGCCGUGUCACAACAAUACCUGCUGAUGUAAAAGUAGGCUACAUUGUAUUCAUAUCUCUGGAUGAGAUAUUCUUAUACAUUGUGCCAUAAAAAAAAAAAACUCUAGAUGGGCUUGUAUAUUCUCCAUUGAUGAAGCGAUGGAUUGGACUCCGAUGUUGACUUCACGUCACGUCCGAGAUGAAUUCUCCUGCCCUGCGCCCAGCGCUACUGAGAUUGACCCUGCAUCCACGACGCCCUUGACUAGGAUGAAGCGGAUACUGAAGUGAAUGAAUGACUGAAUUAAUUCAUUACUUUCCCAAAAGAAACUCAAAUACAUUUAACCCAAUGUACUGUAAAAUUUGUGUAGAGUCUAAGAGUGAAAUCGAUAAGAUGUAAUCUCCUUAACACGCAUUCAGAAAAAUAAAUAAACAAAAUCAGGAAAAUAGACAAGCCUAUAUUGGCCAAUUUGCUCGAAUGGCAACUCGCUUAAGAUAAGUGCAGUCCUUAUGUGCAAUUGGUUAUUUACUGGUCAUUAAUAAGCCAGUAGCUUAGACACCUUUAUGUCUAGCAUUUCCACUUAAUUGGAUGGUAGAUGGUGUCUCACUACUAAUACACAAUUACUGCUGAAUAAGGCAGACUAGAGACCGGAUUACUGUCUACUAGUGAAGUCUUCAGUAGCUAUGCAUGUGUUAACAGUUGUAGAUUUUGUACCUUAAUUACAACUCACUAACAAUAAUUGUUACUGGUUGUAAAGAGUACAACCCUACAACAACUUAUAUUAAUGAUCAAUGCAACAGAUUACACUAUACCAGUAUUGGCAAAGAGGCAAAUCCUCCGAGCCUAGUGCUGAGAAUAGCUGUUGCCAGUGGUUGUUAAGUAUUUAAGUUUGGAUGAGAUUGUUAUGGGGAAAUAUGUGACCUAUUUAUGUGUGUGUAUAUAUGUAUUUCUGAUAUAUACUGUAUGUAUUUAUAGAUUAGUCACUCCAUAAUAUCCAGUCCAGUCCAGCAGGUACCUCAUAUACUGUAAACUGUACAGUCAUUUAUGUUAAUAAUGUAAAUGAAAAACAGGAAAAUGUUUUGAUUGCGCUGAAUCAAUAUUGACCGGCAUCCUGUCCAGGGUGUACCCCGCCUUGUGCCCGAUGCUCCCUGGGAUAGGCUCCAGGUUCCCUGUGACCCUGGAAAGGAGUAAACGGUAGAAGAUGGAUGGAUGGAUGGAUGGAUGGAUGGAUUAAUUAAUAUUGAUUAUGUACAAUGACAAAACAUUCAAGCUAACAAUCUAUUGGUAUUUUUAUGCAUUUGACUUGGUUGUGUUACUUGGGGCCAUCACAUGAUUGACUCGUGAUAAUUGCGGGAAGGGUGCACUUUCGAUCUAAAAUAUAAAGUAUAUGCUCAUGAGCAUCUUCAUACCAUUCAUGUAAUCUAAGGAAAUCACAAACAUACAAAUUCUAACACCAGUUCCUUUAUUUAUGUGCAUGUCUGAAACGAGGUCUGCUGAUUCGAAUGUCAAUCUGAGUUACACAUAAAACUCCCGAAUUAUUUUGAACAUUUUCCUUGAAUGAAUUCAUGUGUUAAAUAAAUGAAUUAUUGUUCAGGAAUAAACAUUACGUUAACCCAUUUGUGUGCUUUGCUGUCCUCAUGCUGUUUAAUAUCACAUCAUAGAGCUAGUGUUGGUUUAGUAUGGGGGAAACAUUGGGAAUGGCCUCAUGAUUCCUACACAUGAGUCCUACACAGUAUUAAAAAGGCCCUAUUUUAGUAUUUCACUAUACGUAAACAUGUUUUAUUAAUGGGUGUAAUAGGUCAAAGCAAUAAUGGCAAUACUCGCAGAACUAAUUUUACAUUCAGUGAGAACAUAUCUCUAAGUUUCACUUUCCUUUACAUGGAAAUGCACUUGAGCACAUUUGAAAAGGUUGGGCAGUAAGAUAAUGUGGGGGUGGUUCCAGUGCUAGAGAGGAAAAGGAAAAGACUGUGUGUCUCUCUUCAUUUUGGAGGACCUGCCCUGGACGUUAUCUACAGUGUUCUGGUGAAACACGAGACUUGGUGUAAAUAAGCAGAUCUUCAUAACGAUAAUGGCAGUCGAGGAGGUGGAUGACGAAACCGACGACGAUGAUAACGAUGACAGACUAUAAGGAAGUUGGCUGGAGGUCUGCUGCCAAGGGUGGACCACAGGAGCUGAACCAAUAGAAGAACAGCGUACGUGUGCGAGAGCGACGUGUCGCUUGGUUGAGCUGUGCGUCCAUGUGAAACCUCGUUGGUGAAUUUCACAACGUAUGCACGUUACCCGUGAACUACUUUGCUUGGUGAAGAGCUUUAUUGCAUAUAGAAAUCUAUGGUAUGUUUACCACUACUACGUCUUUGAAUGAUCUUUUUCUUGUUGUUGUUGUUGUGUUGUGUGAUGUCACUAUGGAGUAAUACUAUAUACAUAAAUAUGUCUCACUGUAUUUCUGAAAAGUCAUGAUCACGUUCCUGAAGCCUAGACAAUGAAACAGAAUUAUUUCCGAGAUACAAGUACUUAUUUAUGACAAGUCAAGUGAAUACAGAACAUGAUGUAUAUGUGUAUCAUCACUGUAUAUGUGUAUUAUUCCUGCAUACAUAUUGUUUUUCCAUAUUUUACUUGGUUGUGUGACUGGGGCCAUGCCAGGCUGGUUGGUCUGAUUGGUGGAAGUGUGCACUUUAAAUCAGGAAGGAACCAUCACGUUCUUGAUGCGUAACCUUUCACUAAAUCUUCAUACACUCUACGAAACUCUCACAGCACAGAAGGGGAAUAAAUCCCUUCCUGUUUUAAAGUGCAUGCUUGGAAUGUAGUCUGUUGUUUUGAAUGCCAGUCUGGGUGGAGUCACACAGAAACACCCCACAUUCUUUCCAUUGUUUUUUUUUUUUUUUAUUUCCUUUAAUCUGACCCCUUCAUUUAGAUUUGAACAGAACGGACGUGGAGGGUUACUGAAUAAACCGCAGCUUUCCUUGAAACUCUUCGUGUGGCGUGCUUCCCUUAAAACAAACCAUCCUGGCUUCACUGAUGACAAUAAACAUAAUAAAAUGACCCGAUGAAGAUAUCGAUAGUUUAGGUCGAAGUAAACGUUCAAAAAGCACCAAAGUCUACCUGGUUUCAUUUGAUAAGAUGUCUAUAAUAUGUCACAUUUAUCGACAAGAAUCAGUAACAAAAGUUUCAGUUGACUAAAAGUACAUAACAAUACUGUGGGGUCCUGGGAUAAAGAAUUUAAUGGACACGUGACAGAGGACGAUGAACCUGAAAGUAGGAAAGCUAAAAAGUUUGGAACGCAAAAUGUACUCAUGAUCCAAAGCAGACCACCACUACCUUUGAAAGACUGUGGUGUGAGUAUGUAGAACUGUUUAAAAAAAAAAAUUAAAAUUAAUAAUUUGCCUGGGAAUAAUGAGCCAAAACAACAUUACUUACUAACUAAAUUACAACGAAUGGGAAACUAAUCCAACCUGUUCAGGUGUAGAGAAUGGCAUUUCCACAUAAACAAAAGCAAAAGUAAGUAAAUGGUAAAUGGCACACUUAUAUAGCGCUUUUAUCCAAAGUGCUUUACACCCUCAUUCACCCAUUCACACACACACUCACACACCAGUGGUAGCAGAGCUUCCACGAAAGGCGCUAACUUGCCAUCGGGAGCAACUCGGGGUUCAGUGUCUUGCCCAAGGACACUUCGGCAUGUGGAGUCAUGAGGGACGGGAAUCGAAACGCCAACCCUACGAUUAGUGGACAACCCGCUCUACCACCUGAUCCACAGCCGCCCACAUUUGACUCGGUUGUGUGAUGGAGCCAUCAGAGACAUGCUGGUCUGGUUGUGAUGAUGAUGGGAAGUGUGCACUUUAAAACAGGAAGGAGUUUGCAUUACUAGUAUGUUCCAUUUUCUCAGGUUUUAUUGUCAUCUUUAGCCAUUUAUGGAGUCUUCGUCCCCCCCCACAGUUUCCAGACACAGUAGUGUUUGAAACACAACUGCUUUAAAGUGUAUGCUUACAGUGUGGCUUGAAUAUUUGAAUGACAGUCUUGAUGGAAGUCACGUGUGAAAAUCCCAUUCAAUCUUUCAUUUUUCCUUUCGUUUCUAGAAAUUUCUACACAGCCUGACACCACGAUAAAGUCCAGCAUGGCUGCUACAUCUUCUUUCAUCAGACCUAUGGAUCUCUCCAUCUCCUUCGGAGUUAACCUUGGCCUACUGGAUGCUUGUCAGACUGAUGCCUUCAUUAGUGCAUACUUUUGGUGGAUGGCCUCGAAGACCUGAAGCAAUGGUGUGUUCUGAGAGCACUGAUAUACAGAUCCACUCAGAGCCUCAGUGCAUGAAGUUAGAACUCUGUUCAUCGGUUCCUGAGGGGAGACAUCAGGAGGAAGCGCGUGUGGAGAACCGAUAGCCAGCAGUUUCAGCAGCAGUAAAAUGGCCAUGCUUGUGCUCGUCUCGACAGAAUCUGCAUCAGUCCCGUCACUUUCACUCUCAUCACAGAGACUGUCCGUGUCCGGUCGACAAAACAGGCUCGACUCCAAAUCGUCAUCUUCUAUUGCCUUCAGAAAGGACUGAGCGAAGGCGUGAUGUACCCGCUCAGCUCCAGCAGUAAAGGCCUUCACGAGGUCAAACAGCGUCCGCGAUUUUUGACAGCAUAGAUUCAUAGAUCCCGUCUAUGUCUACACGGUGGAGCUGCUUGGGGAUGUUCUCACCGUCAGCUAGACAAACUUUAGGCAUCCUGGAUAAAAUCUGCAGCACGGAUUCUGCCAGUUGCCCCACCUGUUUGCACUUAGCUACUAACAUCAGUGUUCCGGCAGGAUUCGAGCUGGAUUCUUCCCAACUCAUCUUCCUGGCUUGCGCUUGAUAAAGCCGAAUUCAUGUCUUCAGCUUCACUCCAUUGUGUGGCCACUUAACCCACUUUCAACCUGCAGACAAACAUACUGUAUAUACAACUUACCUGGUCAUAACCAUGUCUACUACUUACUAUUAUUAUUAUUGUUAUUAUUUACAUAUGCGAUAACUUUAGAGACAAAUCCACAGCAUGUUUUGAAGUUAUUCAUUAUUUAGAUCGAUUUGUCAUUUAUUUACCCUAACAUUCCUCUGAACUGUAUUGGAGACACUCAUCACAGCUUGGCCGACAUUGACAGCAGAACUGCCGUUCCUGGCAGAUAAAUCAUCAUCUAUAAAGAUGACAAAUCAUCAUCUAUCAUCAUAUAAAGUCAAAUUUAUAUUUUAAUGAUAAGAAAUGCACAAAUCUCAUAACCAGUGUUUGAGAGUUUGACUGUGUUUGUAUCAGAAAUGGUCUUAACCAAUCAAACGGUCCAUUUCCUUCGUAUUUUCUGGCAGAGUGAAGGAAAAAAAAAUAUUACAGUUCUACCAUCUUAAAGAUGACGUUUAACUUGUUUUAACACAGCUAUGCUAACAUCUUUAAACUUUAGCGGUGAUUGUGUCCAUGAAGUAUAUUUUGAUGAGCUUAAUCAGUAGACACUCC
Ictalurus punctatus (channel catfish) is the source of this 6426-nucleotide long non-coding RNA. Lineage: Eukaryota; Metazoa; Chordata; Actinopteri; Siluriformes; Ictaluridae. The record is from Ensembl.